Molecule: ribosomal RNA, 253 nt
Filed under: uncultured bacterium
Lineage: Bacteria
Description: partial 16S ribosomal RNA
Rfam family: Bacterial small subunit ribosomal RNA
Source: RNAcentral
UACGGAGGAUCCAAGCGUUAUCCGGAAUCAUUGGGUUUAAAGGGUCCGUAGGCGGUUUAGUAAGUCAGUGGUGAAAGCCCAUCGCUCAACGGUGGAACGGCCAUUGAUACUGCUAGACUUGAAUUAUUAGGAAGUAACUAGAAUAUGUAGUGUAGCGGUGAAGUGCUUAGAGAUUACAUGGAAUACCAAUUGCGAAGGCAGGUUACUACUAAUGGAUUGACGCUGAUGGACGAAAGCGUGGGUAGCGAACAGG